This 61-nucleotide transfer RNA is filed under the name Polyplax reclinata. RNAcentral's name for it is "tRNA-Tyr". Lineage: Eukaryota; Metazoa; Arthropoda; Insecta; Psocodea; Polyplacidae. RNAcentral also lists the same sequence under 1 other name. The record is from RNAcentral.
GGCAGGGUGGCUGAAAAAGUGAAACAUUGUAAGUGUUUAGAUGGAUAAAUUCCCCCUGCCC